UACAGAGGGUGCGAGCGUUAAUCGGAAUUACUGGGCGUAAAGGGCGCGUAGGUGGUUAGGUAAGUGAGAUGUGAAAUCCCCGGGCUUAACCUGGGAAUGGCAUUUGGGGCUGCAAGGCCGGAGUGUGGCAGAGGAGACUGGAAUUCCCGGUGUAGCAGUGAAAUGCGUAGAUAUCGGGAGGAAUACCGAUGGCGAAGGCAGGUCUCUGGGCUGACACUGACGCUCAUGCACGAAAGCGUGGGGAGCAAACAGG
This 253-nucleotide ribosomal RNA is filed under the name uncultured bacterium. Its description in RNAcentral is "partial 16S ribosomal RNA". It matches the Rfam family "Bacterial small subunit ribosomal RNA", at positions 524 to 776 of the family's 1533-position model. The record is from RNAcentral.